GCUCCAUGUUCCAACUUCUAUGCUGGCUCCCUUCAUGCGGCUUGAGUACUUCGCCAAGUUACACCCAAGUUGCUCCGCUCCUCGUUUUUGCAUUAAGUCGAUGGUGGCCCUCGUGCCCACCAUUCCACGGGUCAGCCCUCCCUUGAGUCCGAUCUCCACAUCGACUCCAAGUGUGCCUUCAUUUAAGUUGCUUUAGGUCGCUCCCCCACUUGAUCUCGCAAUGCAUCCACCAAUGCAUUCUCUCAAGCGAGAUCAUGCGACGACUCCUCGCCGCUUGCUCAGUCCAUUGAGCUUUAUGGAGUCGUUGUUUGUUGAGGUACUCCUCCUCAACUUGUGGGGUCCGUCUCACAUGAUUCUCCCUCUGGAGAGCCGGGACUUAUCCCUCCUGGAUAACUGUCCCAUUGGAGAAAACAUCUCUCUUCGUUUCGGAGACCACCAUCCCCUUGGACUACUCCGAUCUGCUGAACAAACUGUGCAUUGUUCUGCCUCCUGUAAACGCACUUGCUAGAUUGCGACUCCACGUCAAUACAGCCCCCGCUGUGCCACUCAAGGCCUAGCAACAUGCUGAACUCGUUGCACACUUCAG
This 586-nucleotide long non-coding RNA is filed under the name Musa acuminata (dwarf banana). Its description in RNAcentral is "long non-coding RNA (MACU_LNC005697)". The record is from RNAcentral. Lineage: Eukaryota; Viridiplantae; Streptophyta; Magnoliopsida; Zingiberales; Musaceae.